This 576-nucleotide ribosomal RNA is filed under the name uncultured bacterium. RNAcentral's name for it is "partial 16S ribosomal RNA". It matches the Rfam family "Bacterial small subunit ribosomal RNA", at positions 355 to 923 of the family's 1533-position model. The record is from RNAcentral.
UGGGGAAUUUUGGACAAUGGGGGAAACCCGUGAUCCAGCCAUCCCGCGUGUGCGAUGAAGGCCUUCGGGUUGUAAAGCACUUUUGGCAGGAAAGAAACGUCGCGGGUUAAUACCCCGCGAAACUGACGGUACCUGCAGAAUAAGCACCGGCUAACUACGUGCCAGCAGCCGCGGUAAUACGUAGGGUGCAAGCGUUAAUCGGAAUUACUGGGCGUAAAGCGUGCGCAGGCGGUUCGGAAAGAAAGAUGUGAAAUCCCAGAGCUUAACUUUGGAACUGCAUUUUUAACUACCGGGCUAGAGUGUGUCAGAGGGAGGUGGAAUUCCGCGUGUAGCAGUGAAAUGCGUAGAUAUGCGGAGGAACACCGAUGGCGAAGGCAGCCUCCUGGGAUAACACUGACGCUCAUGCACGAAAGCGUGGGGAGCAAACAGGAUUAGAUACCCUGGUAGUCCACGCCCUAAACGAUGUCAACUAGCUGUUGGGGCCUUCGGGCCUUGGUAGCGCAGCUAACGCGUGAAGUUGACCGCCUGGGGAGUACGGUCGCAAGAUUAAAACUCAAAGGAAUUGACGGGGUCGAU